Molecule: small nuclear RNA, 108 nt
Filed under: Erinaceus europaeus (western European hedgehog)
Lineage: Eukaryota; Metazoa; Chordata; Mammalia; Eulipotyphla; Erinaceidae
Source: RNAcentral
GUGCUCGCUUCGGCAGCCCAUAUACUAAAAUUGGAACGAUGCAGAGAAGAUUAGCAUGGCCCCUGUGCAAGGAUGACACGCAAAAUGUGACACAUGACAGCACUCCUC